RNAcentral lists this ribosomal RNA (253 nucleotides) under uncultured bacterium. Its description in RNAcentral is "partial 16S ribosomal RNA". It matches the Rfam family "Bacterial small subunit ribosomal RNA", at positions 524 to 776 of the family's 1533-position model. The record is from RNAcentral.
GACGAACCGAGCGAACGUUAUUCGGAUUCACUGGGUUUAAAGGGUGCGUAGGUGGGCAGGUAAGUCAGUGGUGAAAUCUCCGAGCUUAACUCGGAAACUGCCAUUGAUACUAUCUGUCUUGAAUUUUCUGGAGGUGAGCGGAAUAUGUCAUGUAGCGGUGAAAUGCUUAGAUAUGACAUAGAACACCCAUUGCGAAGGCAGCUCACUACGGGACAAUUGACACUGAGGCACGAAAGCGUGGGGAGCGAACAGG